RNAcentral lists this ribosomal RNA (443 nucleotides) under uncultured bacterium. Its description in RNAcentral is "SSU rRNA". It matches the Rfam family "Bacterial small subunit ribosomal RNA", at positions 26 to 518 of the family's 1533-position model. The record is from RNAcentral.
AGAGCGAACGCUGGCGGCAGGCCUAACACAUGCAAGUCGAGCGCCCCGCAAGGGGAGCGGCAGACGGGAGAGUAACACGUGGGAACGUACCCUUUGGUUCGGAACAACACAGGGAAACUUGUGCUAAUACCGGAUAAGCCCUUACGGGGAAAGAUUUAUCGCCGAAAGAUUGGCCCGCGUCUGAUUAGCUAGUUGGUGAGGUAACGGCUCACCAAGGCGACGAUCAGUAGCUGGUCUGAGAGGAUGAUCAGCCACAUUGGGACUGAGACACGGCCCAAACUCCUACGGGAGGCAGCAGUGGGGAAUAUUGGACAAUGGGCGCAAGCCUGAUCCAGCCAUGCCGCGUGAGUGAUGAAGGCCCUAGGGUUGUAAAGCUCUUUUGUGCGGGAAGAUAAUGACGGUACCGCAAGAAUAAGCCCGGCUAACUUCGUGCCAGCAGCCGC